UAUAAACAACUAAAAAUAACAAGGUUAUACCUUUUCACUUGUUUAUAUUAUAUCAAAUAUAUAUAACAACUUGAUGCUGCUUCACGAAAGGCUUAACGAAUAGGAUCGGAGUUGUCAAAUAGCUAUAGAGACUAGAGAGCUAUGCUCGGAGUUUCUCUAUGGGAUCGAAUCAAAAAUGAGGAGAUAGAGAUAAAAGGAUUAGCUUGAAGUGGCAGUGAGCAGGUCAUAUAGCAAUAAGAUGGCCGUUGAUGCCGAAAAGUUCUCGUAUGGAGACCACGGAUCGAAAAAUGCAGCGUUGGACGUCUAAAAACGAGAUGGAUGGAUGGGUGGAUAUAACAACUCGGUGGAAUAUAGUAAAAUAGGUCGCUCAACUCUGGCCGCUCUGAGUCCACCAAACCCUCAACCAGCUGUUGCAGAACCCCGGAGUAUUCGUGACCUGAACCGCUCUCGCAUGGACGGAGUACUGAUGUGAACCUAGAAUUAUAUCGUAGGUUAGGAUUCAUGUUACUUAUAGUUAGGAAAAAUUCAAUAAUUUUCUAAUAAUAUUUUGUGCGAUUUAAAAAACUAAGUUUUUCUCCCAAUUCACUCUUAAAUUUGGUAGUAAGUUCAGAUUUAAAAAGUAUAUACUAAUUUAUAAGGAAUAAAUAGUGUACCAAUAAUCAAUAUGUUAAUGUAUUAAAUGCAUAUUUCACAGGAGAAUUGUUUAUUGAAUCAGUUUGAAAGGAAUUUUUAUUUUAUUUUCGGACUUUAAAACAAAAAACCGACACAACGAGAAUGCAAACAAAAUUAAUUACUUAAUAAUUUGUUGUUAUUUUUAAAGGAUAAAAAAAGAGGUUCCAUAUUUACGAUUCGGAUUGUUUUAAUAUUUACAGAUAAUUAAGAACUUUUUUUAAUAUUUAAUAACAUAAUUAAUUAACGACUAUCCUCUUGUAAAUCACAUCCGAAUAGACUUACUAUAUAAUGAAUAAAAUCUACUUACUUA
Danaus plexippus (monarch butterfly) is the source of this 982-nucleotide long non-coding RNA. RefSeq lists it as uncharacterized. The record is from RefSeq and is a predicted model, not a curated record. The transcript has 2 exons. NCBI's taxonomy places the organism in Eukaryota, Metazoa, Arthropoda, Insecta, Lepidoptera, Nymphalidae.